Molecule: ribosomal RNA, 116 nt
Filed under: Notechis scutatus (mainland tiger snake)
Lineage: Eukaryota; Metazoa; Chordata; Lepidosauria; Squamata; Elapidae
Source: RNAcentral
GCAUACAACCACUGGUAGGAAUCUAAAUGUCUUGUCUGGGGUAAGAAGCUAAGCAAGGUUGGGCUGGGUUAUGAACUUGGAAGGGACAUCUCCAGGGAAUUCCAGGGCUGUAGGCU